AAAUUGAAACGCGACGGUUGUCGAGCGGGUGUGCUUGGUGCUUGUCUCUCAAGAACGUCGACGUACUUGGCGUUCGAGACUUCUUUCUCAUUGCGUGGCUGCAGAAAACUUCUUAAAAAUAAAUAAAGCAAAGGCAAGCCACAACAAACACGAAAUCCCAUUAAAAAACAGAUUUGUAUCAAGUGGAAAUUUGAAAUUCAACCAAAAAGG
Long non-coding RNA from Scaptodrosophila lebanonensis, 210 nucleotides. RefSeq lists it as uncharacterized. The transcript has 2 exons. NCBI's taxonomy places the organism in Eukaryota, Metazoa, Arthropoda, Insecta, Diptera, Drosophilidae. The record is from RefSeq and is a predicted model, not a curated record.